UACGUAGGGGGCAAGCGUUAUCCGGAUUUACUGGGUGUAAAGGGAGCGUAGACGGUUGAUCAAGUCUGAAGUGAAAUGCAUGGGCUCAACCCAUGAACUGCUUUGGAAACUGGUUAACUAGAGUGCAGGAGAGGUAAGUGGAAUUCCUAGUGUAGCGGUGAAAUGCGUAGAUAUUAGGAGGAACACCGGUGGCGAAGGCGGCUUACUGGACUGUAACUGACGUUGAGGCUCGAAAGCGUGGGGAG
RNAcentral lists this ribosomal RNA (245 nucleotides) under uncultured Hungatella sp. Its description in RNAcentral is "partial 16S ribosomal RNA". It matches the Rfam family "Bacterial small subunit ribosomal RNA", at positions 524 to 768 of the family's 1533-position model. The record is from RNAcentral. Lineage: Bacteria; Bacillati; Bacillota; Clostridia; Lachnospirales; Lachnospiraceae.